CACGUAGGGCGCAAGCGUUGUCCGGAAUUAUUGGGCGUAAAGAGCUCGUAGGCGGUCUGUUACGUCUGCUGUGAAAACCCGGGGCUUAACCCUGGGCUUGCAGUGGAUACGGGCAGACUAGAGGCAGGUAGGGGAGAAUGGAAUUCCCGGUGUAGCGGUGAAAUGCGCAGAUAUCAGGAAGAACACCAACGGCGAAGGCAGCUCGCUGGGACGGUACUGACGCUGAGACGCGAAAGCGUGGGGAGCGAACAGG
Molecule: ribosomal RNA, 253 nt
Filed under: uncultured bacterium
Lineage: Bacteria
Description: partial 16S ribosomal RNA
Rfam family: Bacterial small subunit ribosomal RNA
Source: RNAcentral